Molecule: ribosomal RNA, 254 nt
Filed under: uncultured bacterium
Lineage: Bacteria
Description: partial 16S ribosomal RNA
Rfam family: Bacterial small subunit ribosomal RNA
Source: RNAcentral
UACGUAGGUGGCAAGCGUUGUCCGGAUUUACUGGGCGUAAAGAGCGCGCAAGCGGUCGUCCAAGUCGCGUGUGAAAGCCCCCGGCUCAACUGGGGAGGGUCACGCGAUACUGGUCGACUCGAAGGCAGGAGAGGGUAGUGGAAUUCCCGGUGUAGUGGUGAAAUGCGUAGAUAUCGGGAGGAACACCAGUGGCGAAGGCGACUACCUGGCCUGUUUCUUGACGCUGAGGCGCGAAAGCUAGGGGAGCAAACAGG